GAUACCAAAUGACAGUGUGACCCAGCCCAGCCUUUCUUUUCCACAAAACAUUAGCGUUUCACUAAGCGCACGCUGCUGUGCUCUUUCAUCAGACACACUGCUCUGGUGUGUAUCAUAUGAUAUGGCAGCCACUCAGGCAGGCGGGGAGCAGCGCAGCCUGUAAUUUCCUGGUCAUAUGUAACUGGGUGGGGAAGCGCCUGAUCCUUGGGAACGCAAUGUACUCAUGGCCAGAUGGAUUAUCAGCUAUUCUCACUGACCUCUGAGAUAUUAUCACCUGGACACUGUUAAGACUGGCCUCCAUAACAGGUGCAAAAUCUAUGGAUCCUUGGAUCCUCCACUUUCUCAUUUUCUUGGCCACCUCGGGGAAGUCCUGCCUGUCAUCCAAGCUUGAGCCCUCUGCUCCAGAGCACGCUCAGCACUCUGGUCCCAUGUGAAGACACCAGGGGCUGACAGAAGUUCUUUAGCAGCAGCACCCCAGUGAAUCACUACUAUGGAAACAGCCAGGAGUUCUGUGUAUGACGUUUGGAGAGCUUCCAAAGAGGUAGCUCUAACUAUAUUCAGCCUAGGCCAUGCACAUAUCUGUAAGGUUUCCACUAUCUUCUGCCCAAGGUGCCAUGUGCGUGAAAUUGUUCAGACUCCUGUUUUGAUGAGAGAAGGCCUAACCAGUUGCAAACUAAUAAUAGCCAAAAUUUAGCUGUCAUCAUUAAAAAAAUAUAUACACAUAAAAAAAUUAACUGCUAGUAAAAGAAUGUAAAAAAUGGAUCGUGUCAGUAAAAUAUUUUGGCAUUUCAUUGGUAUAAAUACCCAGACUCCCUAAGCACUUUCAAUGCAUAAUCCAGAUUUACUGCCUUUUCAUGAUGGCUGAAGUGGUACAUUCUUUAAAGCUUGCAAUGACUGACCAUAAGCAUGAAUUGUACAAAUUCAGAGUUACAACUUUAUGGUCUGCGUGAACACUUUUCACCAUAUGCUUUAGAGAUUUACUGAGGUCCUCAAUGUUUGAAAUGUUUUUGUGAAGAAAAUUAAAAUGUCAGUUAAAAAUAU
Vidua chalybeata is the source of this 1041-nucleotide long non-coding RNA. RefSeq lists it as uncharacterized. The transcript has 4 exons. Lineage: Eukaryota; Metazoa; Chordata; Aves; Passeriformes; Viduidae. The record is from RefSeq and is a predicted model, not a curated record.